RNAcentral lists this ribosomal RNA (128 nucleotides) under Xenopolyscytalum sp. RNAcentral's name for it is "partial large subunit ribosomal RNA". It matches the Rfam family "Eukaryotic large subunit ribosomal RNA", at positions 99 to 226 of the family's 3401-position model. Lineage: Eukaryota; Fungi; Ascomycota; Leotiomycetes; Helotiales; Hamatocanthoscyphaceae. The record is from RNAcentral.
CGGCAACAGCUCAAAUUUGAAAUCUGGCUCUUCUAGGGUCCGAGUUGUAAUUUGUAGAAGAUGCUUCGGGUGUGGCUCCGGUCUAAGUUCCUUGGAACAGGACGUCUUAGAGGGUGAGAACCCCGUAC